This 462-nucleotide ribosomal RNA is filed under the name uncultured bacterium. RNAcentral describes it as "partial 16S ribosomal RNA". It matches the Rfam family "Bacterial small subunit ribosomal RNA", at positions 28 to 507 of the family's 1533-position model. The record is from RNAcentral.
GACGAACGCUGGCGGCGUGCUUAACACAUGCAAGUCGAACGGUGAAGCCCUGCUUGUUUGGUGGGUUAGUAGCGAGUGCGUGAGACUUACGCGAGCUUCCCCUGCCUCUGGCUCAGCCACGAGAUACGGAAGCUGAUGCCUACUACGACUGGGCUCGGCCUCUAUGGUGUGUGGAUGGUUUGUCGGUUGGGGAUGGGCUCGCGGCUUAUCAGCUUGUUGGUGAGGUGAGGGCUCACCAAGGCGACGACGGGUAGCCGGCCUGAGAGGGUGACCGGCCACACUGGGACUGAGACACGGCCCAGACUCCUACGGGAGGCAGCAGUGGGGAAUAUUGCACAAUGGGCGAAAGCCUGAUGCAGCAACGCCGCGUGAGGGAUGACGGCCUUCGGGUUGUAAACCUCUUUCAGCUGUGAAGAAGCGAAAGUGACGGUAGUAGCAGAAGAAGCACCGGCUAACUACGUG